AUGAAGCGGGUGACAAGAGUGAUUGUGCUCCUGAUCCUGGGCACCGGGAGCCUUGCUGAGACCACUCAGCCCAUCUCCAUGGACUCCUAUGAGGGCCAAGACGUGAACUUGACCUGUAACCACCCCAACAUUGCUACAAAUGAGUACAUCUUCUGGUACCGACAGGUCCACCACCAGGGACCACGCUUUGUUAUUCAAGGAUAUAAGACAAAUGGGGCAAAUGAAGUAGCAUCUCUGUUUAUCCCUGAAGAUAGGAAGUCCAGCACCCUGAGCCUGCGCCACGUUGCUCUGAGAGACACUGGUGUGUACUACUGCAUCGUGCGUGGAGCACAGUGA
This is a non-coding RNA of Heterocephalus glaber (naked mole-rat), 336 nucleotides long. The record is from the annotation of a RefSeq genome assembly. NCBI's taxonomy places the organism in Eukaryota, Metazoa, Chordata, Mammalia, Rodentia, Bathyergidae.